This 1148-nucleotide long non-coding RNA is filed under the name Equus asinus (donkey). RNAcentral's name for it is "lncRNA (ENSEASG00005037819.1)". The record is from RNAcentral. Lineage: Eukaryota; Metazoa; Chordata; Mammalia; Perissodactyla; Equidae.
GACUCCACCAUCGGAGGACGUGGAGGAUGCCGGGGCACAGGUGCGCCGCUGUGCAGGAGGAAGAUGUGGAACACAGACCAGAGAGCUCGCUCAGAGCGGGACCAUCUUUAAGAUAAGAACCAGCCCCAAGAGUGAGUUAAAGGGACAGACGGAAAUUCAAAUGCAGCUGCUUUCGGACUGCUUUGCACAAGUCCCCCUGAACAUCACAGGCUGUUGGAAGGGCCAGGCUGGUAGGAAAAGUGGAAGCAACUUUCCUCUUUCCCCCUCCUGCCUCUUCAAAUGCCAAGCAGAGUCCCUCCCGCCCACUCCUGGGUGACGUCUCAGCUUAUCUGCUCCCAGCAGCCCUGUCCUACAGAGAGAGCGGGAGCCAGCUGUGCAGACCUGAGUGUCAACAUUCUGGGAGCCACAGGAGAAAAAGCAGAACGGAAAGGACACACAGUUCAGCCAUGCUGAGGAAUUGGGGCUCCAUCCACAAGAAGAGGAAGCCAUCGAAAGUCUUCAUUAGGAGAGAGAGACAUGUUCCAAUUUGUGUUUUGGGAAAAAACAUUCUGAGUCGAGUGUAGUGGAUAUAAGAGGGCACGAGGAUGAGAUGGGAAAACAGAGGAUAGAGAUGCCACCUGAAAUUGAGCCUGGAAGUUUCCAGAAGAAGUUUGUUGAAUCCUGGGUUACAGCAGUUAAGCCCCCACUCACUGAAUAAUGCAAGUUCCCUUUGGUAAGGACCACACCUGUAUGACAAUGUAAGCACAAGCUGUGAACUUUUGGAUGUCUGACACAGCUUAGGCCAAUUCUUUUUCCUUCUCCUUACCUGAUGUGGACUUGAGAGAGAGAGGAAUUUUUUGAAAACAAGAGAAAUUUGAUAGCCAAGUGUAAGACUUUGGUUUAGAAACUUUCCCUCAAUUAAAUAAACUCAGUGGUCUGAAAUGACUGUAUUGAUGAAGUGUUUCUUUCCACCUUAGAAACUGAUCAUCCAUGCCCUUCAUGGAAUGUGUCUUUGUAACCACAAUGACUCAGUUUAUCUGAUUAAGAGGGGUUAUGACUAUGGCUACUUUAGCUAAAACAGAGGCAUUAUUAGAAGGUGCAAGCAAACAGUGAGCACUGCAAACAUGGAUUUCAUCAUGGAAAAUCAGAAUACCUUCUCUGAUCUUUUC